AGAGUUUGAUCAUGGCUCAGGACGAGCGCUGGCGGCGUGCCUAAUACAUGCAAGUCGAACGCACUGACGGAGAACUUGUUCUCUUGACGUGAGUGGCGCACGGGUGAGUAACACGUGGGAAACCUACCCUUCAGCGGGGGAUAACCAUCGGAAACGAUGACUAAUACCGCAUAGACGACAGAACCGCCUGGUUCAAUCGGGAAAGACGGCUUCGGCUGUCACUGAAGGAUGGUCCCGCGCUGCAUUAGCUAGUUGGUAAGGUAACGGCUUACCAAGGCGAUGAUGCAUAGCCGACCUGAGAGGGUGAUCGGCCACAUUGGGACUGAGACACGGCCCAAACUCCUACGGGAGGCAGCAGUAGGGAAUCUUCCGCAAUGGACGCAAGUCUGACGGAGCAACGCCGCGUGUGUGAAGAAGGUUUUCGGAUCGUAAAGCACUGUUAUUAGAGAAGAACAGCCGAUAGAGUAACUGUUAUCGGUUUGACGGUAUCUAACCAGAAAGUGACGGCUAACUACGUGCCAGCAGCCGCGGUAAUACGUAGGUCACAAGCGUUGUCCGGAUUUAUUGGGCGUAAAGGGAGCGCAGGCGGUUUGUUAAGUCUGAUGUGAAAGCCCACGGCUCAACCGUGGAACGGCAUUGGGAACUGGCAAACUUGAGUAUAGAAGAGGAAAGUGGAAUUCCAUGUGUAGCGGUGAAAUGCGUAGAUAUAUGGAGGAACACCAGUGGCGAAGGCGACUUUCUGGUCUAUAACUGACGCUGAGGCUCGAAAGCGUGGGGAGCGAACAGGAUUAGAUACCCUGGUAGUCC
RNAcentral lists this ribosomal RNA (807 nucleotides) under uncultured bacterium. RNAcentral describes it as "bacterial SSU rRNA". It matches the Rfam family "Bacterial small subunit ribosomal RNA", at positions 8 to 796 of the family's 1533-position model. The record is from RNAcentral.